GAUACAGCAGACUCAGGUACUCACACACCCUCUGCCCCUGCUCAGUGAGAUACAGCAGACUCAGGUACAAAAAACACACCCUCUGUCCCUGCUCAGUGAGAUACAGCAGACUCAGGUACUCACACACACCCUCUGCCCCUGCUCAGUGAGAUACAGCAGACUCAGGUACAAAAAACACACCCUCUGUCCCUGCUCAGUGAGAUACAGCAGACUCAGGUACUAACACACACCCUCUGUCCCUGCUCAGUGAGAUACAGCAGACUCAGGUACUCACACACCCUCUGGCCCUGCUCAGUGAGAUACAGCAGACUCAGGUACUCACAAAGCCUAUGUCCCUGCUCAGUGAGAUACAGCAGACUCAGGUACUCACACACACCCUCUGCCCCUGCUCAGUGAGAUACAGCAGACUCAGGUACUCACACACCCUCUGGCCCUGCUCAGUGAGAUACAGUAGACUCAGGUAC
Long non-coding RNA from Oncorhynchus gorbuscha (pink salmon), 464 nucleotides. RefSeq lists it as uncharacterized. The transcript is spliced from 2 exons. NCBI's taxonomy places the organism in Eukaryota, Metazoa, Chordata, Actinopteri, Salmoniformes, Salmonidae. The record is from RefSeq and is a predicted model, not a curated record.